UCACUUGCAGGAGCCCCAUGA
RNAcentral lists this microRNA (21 nucleotides) under Marchantia polymorpha subsp. ruderalis. Lineage: Eukaryota; Viridiplantae; Streptophyta; Marchantiopsida; Marchantiales; Marchantiaceae. The record is from RNAcentral.